This is a long non-coding RNA of Rattus rattus (black rat), 209 nucleotides long. RefSeq lists it as uncharacterized. NCBI's taxonomy places the organism in Eukaryota, Metazoa, Chordata, Mammalia, Rodentia, Muridae. The transcript has 2 exons. The record is from RefSeq and is a predicted model, not a curated record.
CACUGAAAAAUGUUCCUGCAGGAGCUGAGGAAAUCACCCAGGUGCUAGAAUCUCUUGAAAAUCUGAUGCAUCAUUCAGAGGAAAACCCAAAUCAGAUUCGCCUAUUGGCACAGACACUUACAGAUGGAGGAGUCAUGGAUGAACUGAUCAAUGAGGAGCUUGAGACAUUUAAUUCUCGUUGGAGGGAACUACAUGAAGAGGUAUGAGGA